UGGCAGCGGUGGCACUGCCCGGGAGUAAA
Molecule: small RNA, 29 nt
Filed under: Bombyx mori (domestic silkworm)
Lineage: Eukaryota; Metazoa; Arthropoda; Insecta; Lepidoptera; Bombycidae
Description: ovarian small RNA-34762
Source: RNAcentral